Molecule: ribosomal RNA, 416 nt
Filed under: Stutzerimonas stutzeri
Lineage: Bacteria; Pseudomonadati; Pseudomonadota; Gammaproteobacteria; Pseudomonadales; Pseudomonadaceae
Description: bacterial SSU rRNA
Rfam family: Bacterial small subunit ribosomal RNA
Source: RNAcentral
ACGCUGGCGGCAGGCCUAACCAUGCAAGUCGAGCGGAUGAAGGGAGCUUGCUCUCUGAUUCAGCGGCGGACGGGUGAGUAAUGCCUAGGAAUCUGCCUGGUAGUGGGGGACAACGUUUCGAAAGGAACGCUAAUACCGCAUACGUCCUACGGGAGAAAGCAGGGGACCUUCGGGCCUUGCGCUAUCAGAUGAGCCUAGGUCGGAUUAGCUAGUUGGUGAGGUAAUGGCUCACCAAGGCGACGAUCCGUAACUGGUCUGAGAGGAUGAUCAGUCACACUGGAACUGAGACACGGUCCAGACUCCUACGGGAGGCAGCAGUGGGGAAUAUUGGACAAUGGGCGAAAGCCUGAUCCAGCCAUGCCGCGUGUGUGAAGAAGGUCUUCGGAUUGUAAAGCACUUUAAGUUGGGAGGAAGGG